CUGCAAACAUCACAGAGACAAUGAUGAGCACCCUGUCUCGUGAAGAUUUGCGGGAUCUUUUCCCAGGCCCAGAGAACUUUUUACGAAGAAAAGCGGUCUGGCGUGUCUGUCAUGGUGCCUCGGAGGAGGAGUUUGGCCAAGAACACUUAAAAUUAUCGAGCAGUUCGUCCUUUAAUGCGUCACCCAUGCAACAGACAUCCACUCCUGUGAAUGCAAGUCUUGCAAAGUACACAACCCCUGAAAAGGUUGUGAAGUUAUCCUUUCCAGAAUAUGUACUGCACACUGACACAGAACUUGAGCAAGUCCGACAUCAGUACUUUGAGUUGCCGAAAAGAGGCGAACAGCGCAACUGCUAGAUGUCAAAGGAGCUCAGAUGCCGGCUCAUUCGAAACACCAUGACCAGUAUGAUUGCAAUCCUGAGGGCAAAGGAGGAUGGAGAAUCACACAGAUACCCAUCAAAGCCAGAAAUUACAGCAAUGGCAAAGAGAAUAGUGCUGUACCCAUGCUGCAGGACCAAGGCUUCCAUACAUGGGUCACUGUGUACACACAGCUAUACAAAAGAUUGCAAAAUGUGAGAUCCCCCCAAAAAAGAACUCCAGAUGGGAGACAUUCAAAGAGCUCAACAAAGAGGCGCUGUCUUGAGCAGCCAACAGACACGGAUGAAAUGGAUUCAAGUGACUCGACAAUCAUUCUGGAUCUGUCCACAUAA
Molecule: long non-coding RNA, 709 nt
Filed under: Sparus aurata (gilthead seabream)
Lineage: Eukaryota; Metazoa; Chordata; Actinopteri; Spariformes; Sparidae
Description: lncRNA (ENSSAUG00010008595.1)
Source: RNAcentral